AUGAGUUGUGAUGGGGUUUGAUGCUGGCAGCCAAUUUUGUUGGAUGCAUGUGCUUGCCCUGACAAUCAUCUUCCAAACACCUGUGCACAUUUUUGAGGGAAUUUUGAGUUGAUUGCCGCUUUUUGGCGAUUUUCUUGCGUUCCCUUAAAUCAUUAUACGCUGUUAGCAAAUGCUGAACGUGAUUUGUGCCGCAAGGCUAUUAAUAUAAUA
This 210-nucleotide unclassified non-coding RNA is filed under the name uncultured Clavulina. RNAcentral describes it as "sequence contains ITS1". Lineage: Eukaryota; Fungi; Basidiomycota; Agaricomycetes; Cantharellales; Hydnaceae. The record is from RNAcentral.